This 232-nucleotide ribosomal RNA is filed under the name Blautia faecis. Its description in RNAcentral is "partial 23S ribosomal RNA". It matches the Rfam family "Bacterial large subunit ribosomal RNA", at positions 508 to 740 of the family's 2925-position model. The record is from RNAcentral. Lineage: Bacteria; Bacillati; Bacillota; Clostridia; Lachnospirales; Lachnospiraceae.
GGAAAGGUGAAAAGGACCCCGGGAGGGGAGUGAAAGAGAACCUGAAACCCUGUGUCUACAAGCUGUGGGAGCACCUUAUGUGUGCAACCGCGUACUUUUUGUAGAACGGUCCGGCGAGUUACGCUUACUGGCAAGGUUAAGCACUUUAGGUGCGGAGCCGUAGGGAAACCAAGUCUUAACAGGGCCUUAAGUCAGUAGGAGUAGACCCGAAACCGGGUGAUCUACCCAUGUC